UACGUAGGGUGCGAGCGUUGUCCGGAAUUACUGGGCGUAAAGAGCUCGUAGGUGGUUUGUCGCGUUGUUCGUGAAAACUCACAGCUUAACUGUGGGCGUGCGGGCGAUACGGGCAGACUGGAGUACUGCAGGGGAGACUGGAAUUCCUGGUGUAGCGGUGGAAUGCGCAGAUAUCAGGAGGAACACCGGUGGCGAAGGCGGGUCUCUGGGCCGAAACUGACGCUGAGGAGCGAAAGCGUGGGGAGCAAACAGG
RNAcentral lists this ribosomal RNA (253 nucleotides) under uncultured bacterium. RNAcentral's name for it is "partial 16S ribosomal RNA". It matches the Rfam family "Bacterial small subunit ribosomal RNA", at positions 524 to 776 of the family's 1533-position model. The record is from RNAcentral.